CAGUCGCCACGGUAAUACGGAGGGUGCAAGCGUUAAUCGGAAUUACUGGGCGUAAAGCGCACGCAGGCGGUCUGUCAAGUCAGAUGUGAAAUCCCCGGGCUUAACCUGGGAACUGCAUUUGAAACUGGCAGGCUAGAGUCUUGUAGAGGGGGGUAGAAUUCCAGGCGUAGCGGUGAAAUGCGUAGAGAUCUGGAGGAAUACCGGUGGCGAAGGCGGCCCCCUGGACAAAGACUGACGCUCAGGUGCGAAAGCGUGGGGAGCAAACAGGAUUAGAUACCCGCGUAGUCCCUGUCUCUUAUAC
This 301-nucleotide ribosomal RNA is filed under the name uncultured bacterium. Its description in RNAcentral is "partial 16S ribosomal RNA". It matches the Rfam family "Bacterial small subunit ribosomal RNA", at positions 509 to 807 of the family's 1533-position model. The record is from RNAcentral.